Molecule: long non-coding RNA, 264 nt
Organism: Fundulus heteroclitus (mummichog)
Lineage: Eukaryota; Metazoa; Chordata; Actinopteri; Cyprinodontiformes; Fundulidae
Exons: 3
Source: RefSeq, a predicted model, not a curated record
AGUAGCACCGUCUUUAUGACAGGGAUGAGUUGGAAAGGACCGGCUGCAGAGAAAGGCGAGAAGAAAACAAGGGAAGAAGUAAAUGAAUUAGUGGAAGCACAUCUAGAGGUUGGUCAAAAAUACCUGUAAGAGGGCCACAGUGGAUCCUGCAAGUAGACAUGAAUAAUCGCUCUAUCGCCUGGUGGCUGAGACAGAUUGAACUGCCACAGUACACCAAGACCCUAGAGAGUGAAUACUAUGGUCUGGAGGGUCUGAUGCAUGUAA